CGUAGUGACGGCGGCAUCAAUUUCUGAAUUAAUUACCAUUUGUCGCAAAAACUGCGCGUCCUUUACGUUUUCUAGACUCGAAAAUCUUUAAUUUGUGUUUAGGUUGUGAUAAAUUGUAAUCUAAAUGGCAUCUGAUGAUGAAGUAGAUGGAUCUUUUGCAGGCGACGAGGACGUGGAGGAAGGUGAGGGUCAGAAUGAUAACUCAGGGGAGAGUGAUGAAGCUCCACCCAAGGAGGAUGAUGACUAUUCCCCUGAAGAUGGCAGAAAGAAAAAGAAGGGGAAAAAAAGAAAAGCUAGAGGUGAAGAGAAAAAGGGCAGAAAGAAAAAGAAGAAGCGGAAGAAUGAAAGUGACGAAGAAGACGAAUUUGGACUGGCGGAAGUUGAAGCUGAGGGUGAUAGCGAUUAUGCAUUGAGUGCUGUUUCUUCAAGCAAGAAGUCACGCAAGGGUCGUGGAAGCAAACACAACACAUCCUCUUCCAUACCUUCCGACUCUGGAUCUGGUAUGCCCACCGUUGAAGAGGUGUGCACCUCAUUCGGGCUGACUGAUGUUGACAUUCAGUACUCUGAUGCAGAUCUAGAAAACUUGACAAGUUACAAGUUAUUUCAACAGCACGUUCGUCCGCUGAUUGUCAAGGAAAAUCCAAAGGUACCAGUGUCAAAGCUCAUGAUGUUAGUGGCGGCGAAGUGGCGUCUUUUCUGUGAAACUAAUCCUCACCUGGAAGGCGGAGGAAGUACGCAGAACCUGGGUUCCGAAGAAAACACUAAUACAUCAACAGCAUCUGAUUAUGCGCCAAAACGCACCGGGCGGAAUCCCAAAGAUUCAAAGGUUGACGACUCGAUCGACGAACCAGAAGAUGAAGAAGACGAAGGUAUAAGCGACGAGGGGACACCCGCACCGAGAAAGCGUGGCCGCAAGCCCAAACAUGCGGGCGGCACGCCCCGCGGCAAACCGGGCCGCAAGCCCAAAGUGCCCACGCUCAAGAUAAAGUUCAGCAAGCGCAAACGGACCAGUAGUGAGGAAGAGCAAGAAGGCAGCGCAGGAGCCAAUUCAGAUUCAGAUGCAGAGUUUGAGCAAAUGCUUGCAGAGGCAGAUGAGCCUAAAGCUGUCUCCAGCAAUGCUGAAGAGCCUGCCCCACCUAAGGAGGAAGAUCCUAAUGCACCUCAACAGCCAAAGAAGAAGGCCAAGACCAAAAUUGGUAACAAAACGAGGAAGAAGAAGAAGUUGAAGACCACUAACAAAUUCCCUGAUGGUGCGGAAGGAGAACCUGAACAUCAAGACUAUUGUGAAGUGUGUCAACAAGGAGGCGAGAUAAUACUCUGUGAUACAUGCCCUCGAGCAUAUCACUUAGUGUGCUUGGAGCCUGAGCUGGAAGAGACCCCCGAAGGUCGGUGGUCAUGCCCCCACUGCGAGGCUGAAGGCAAUCAGGACCAAGAUGAUGAUGAUGAGCAUCAGGAGUUUUGUAGGCUUUGCAAAGAUGGAGGAGAGUUACUUUGCUGUGAUUCAUGUCCCUCGGCUUACCAUCGAUUCUGUCUCAACCCACCAUUAGAUGAAGUGCCAGAUGGGGAAUGGAAAUGUCCUCGAUGUAGUUGUCCUCCCUUGGAUGGAAAAGUGUCAAAGAUCUUAACUUGGCGAUGGAGGGAGCCCUCCGCCAAGUCGAAAGCGCCACGUUCGAGGGAGUUCUUUGUCAAAUGGCACGAGCGGUCGUAUUGGCAUUGCAGUUGGAUCUCAGAGAUACAGUUGGACGUAUUCCACCCGCUGAUGUACCGCUACUACAUGCGCAAAUGGGACACUGAGGAACCGCCCAAACUCGAGGAGCCCCUCGAAGAGCGAGAAGGACUCAAAAGGCUUAAGAUCAGGCACGGCAGGGAACAACAGGACUCUGACGAGAAGAUGCUCGAGGAGAAAUAUUAUAGAUAUGGCGUUAAACCAGAGUGGCUGAUAGUGCACAGGGUGAUAAACCAUCGCACGUCUCGCGACGGCACUACUUAUUACUUGGUGAAGUGGCGCGAUUUGUCCUACGAUCAGGCCACAUGGGAGUCAGAGCACGCUGAUAUCGCCGGCCUCAAAAACACUAUUGACUAUUACCAGGAUAUGCGCGCUCACAUAACUUCGGAAGGCAAAACUAAGGGGAGUAAAGGCAAGAAACCUGGCCGCAAGAGUAAGAACAAGGACAACGUUGAUGACGACGAAAGCAGCAGUGGUCUGGUGGUCAAGAGUAGAAAGUAUAACGCACCGCCCGACCGCCCCGUCACCAAUCUCAAUAAGAAGUAUGAAGACCAACCAGCGUUCGUUUAUGAAACUGGAAUGCAGUUGCAUCCUUAUCAGUUGGAAGGUCUCAACUGGUUGCGAUACUCGUGGGGUAACGGAAUCGACACUAUCCUCGCUGACGAGAUGGGACUUGGUAAAACUAUUCAAACUGUAACAUUCCUGUAUUCGCUGUUCAAAGAAGGUCACUGUAAAGGCCCCUUUUUAGUUUCCGUACCACUCUCUACAAUUAUCAAUUGGGAGAGAGAAUUUGAACUGUGGGCUCCAGAUUUAUACUGCAUCACCUAUGUAGGUGACAAAGAUUCUAGAGCUGUGAUACGUGAAAACGAGCUCACGUUUGAUGAUGGUGCAAACAGAGGCGGAAGGCCUUCAAAGAUUAAAUCGCAAGUGAAGUUCAAUGUUCUUCUAACGUCGUAUGAACUUGUCUCUAUUGAUUCGACGUGCCUCGGUUCCAUCGACUGGGCCGUGCUUGUGGUUGACGAAGCUCACAGAUUGAAGAGCAACCAGUCAAAGUUCUUUAGGCUUCUAGCCGGGUAUAACAUCAACUAUAAACUGUUACUCACUGGAACUCCUUUACAAAAUAACCUCGAGGAAUUGUUCCAUCUUUUAAAUUUCUUGAACAAGGACAAGUUCUGCGACCUUGCCGCUUUCCAAAACGAAUUCGCUGACGUAUCAAAGGAGGAGCAAGUUAAAAGGUUACACGAAAUGUUGGGACCGCAUAUGCUGCGGCGUCUCAAAGCUGACGUGUUAAAGAACAUGCCCACAAAAUCGGAAUUCAUUGUACGUGUCGAACUAUCUCCAAUGCAGAAGAAAUAUUACAAGUAUAUCUUGACCAGAAACUACGAAGCUUUGAACCCAAAGGGUGGCGGACAAACUGUAUCUUUACUCAAUGUGAUGAUGGAUUUAAAGAAAUGUUGUAAUCAUCCAUAUUUGUUCUCCGUGGCGGCGGAGGAGGCCCCGCUCGGUCCCCACGGAAACUAUGACACACAGGCGUUGAUUAAAGCAUCAGGAAAGCUUGUUCUUAUGUCCAAGAUGUUGAGACAGCUGAAAGAACAAGGUCAUAGGGUUCUCAUCUUCUCUCAGAUGACAAAGAUGUUAGACAUUCUCGAAGAUUUCCUAGAGGGCGAGGGGUACAAGUAUGAAAGAAUUGAUGGUGGUAUUACAGGGACGAUUCGUCAGGAAGCUAUCGAUAGGUUCAAUGCUCCCGGCGCUCAGCAAUUCGUCUUCCUCUUGUCGACAAGGGCUGGUGGUCUGGGUAUUAACUUGGCUACAGCUGAUACAGUGAUAAUUUAUGACUCUGAUUGGAAUCCCCAUAAUGAUAUCCAGGCUUUUUCGCGAGCUCAUCGUAUCGGUCAGGCGAACAAAGUCAUGAUCUACCGAUUCGUAACUCGCAACAGUGUUGAAGAGCGAGUUACACAAGUUGCUAAAAGGAAAAUGAUGUUGACCCAUUUGGUUGUGCGCCCUGGUAUGGGUGGAAAAGGUGCCAACUUUACGAAGCAAGAGUUGGAUGAUAUUCUAAGAUUUGGUACAGAGGAGUUAUUUAAAGAGGAUGAGGGCAAAGAGGAAGCUAUUCACUAUGAUGACAAAGCCGUUGGAGACUUGCUCGAUCGUUCAAAGGAAGGUAUUGAACAGAAGGAAUCUUGGGCCAAUGAGUAUCUUAGUUCUUUCAAAGUCGCUAAUUAUUCGACCAAAGAAGGAGACAACGAAGAGGAGGUUGAUACUGAGAUUAUUAAACAAGAAGCGGAAAAUACUGACCCUGCUUACUGGAUCAAACUACUUAGGCAUCAUUAUGAACAGCACCAAGAAGAUCAGGCCAGAAGUCUCGGCAAAGGCAAAAGAGUUCGAAAACAAGUCAACUAUAAUGACGGUAGUGUUGCUCAAACUGAAAACAGAGAGGAUUCUACUUGGCAAGAAAAUGGAUCAGAUUACAAUUCAGAUUUCUCUCAUGGUAGUGAGGAUGAUAAAGAAGAUGACGAUUUCGAUGAAAAGAAUGAUAAUGGAGAUCUUCUUAGUCGCCGUAGUAAGAGACGUCUCGAGAGACGAGAAGAAAGGGAUAGGCCUCUGCCGCCUUUACUCGCACGAGUGGGUGGUAAUAUUGAGGUUCUCGGUUUCAAUGCCCGACAAAGAAAAUCAUUCCUUAACGCAAUCAUGCGGUAUGGUAUGCCACCACAAGACGCGUUCAAUUCACAAUGGCUUGUGAGAGAUCUCAGGGGAAAAUCUGAACGUAAUUUCAAAGCUUACGUAUCUCUAUUUAUGCGACACUUAUGUGAGCCUGGCGCAGAUAACGCCGAAACGUUUGCCGAUGGCGUCCCGCGAGAAGGUUUAUCUAGACAACAUGUCCUUACUAGAAUAGGUGUCAUGAGUCUCAUAAGGAAGAAGGUGCAAGAAUUCGAGCACAUUAAUGGGUACUAUAGUAUGCCUGAGUUAAUUCGUAAACCAGUGGAACCAGUGAAGAUUGCGGGUGGGGAAAGCGCCGCGCCUAGCCCGGCUCCUUCGUCAGCUACGCCCAUAACAUCAGCUGCCCCGUCGCCAGCGCCUACAACUGUGACCCCAGCCUCUGGCCAGGCGGCUACCCCUGGUGGCUCAGAAAAAGACGAAAAGGAAGAAACGAAAGAUGACAAAUCAGAUUCCAAGGACAGCAAAGACAAGGACGAACCAAUGGACACGAGUAUCGUCAAAGAGGAAAAAGAAAAACCUGAAGAAGUAGAACCUAUAAAAGAUGUAAGUAUUAAACAAGAAGUAAAAGAAGAGAGAAGAAUGUCGGUAGAUGAUGAACCACCAAAGGAAGAGGAAAAAUUAGAAGAAAGCAAGAGCGAGGAGAAAGAAGAAAAAGUAAUUAAGGAGGAGAAAGAGGAAGUCGAUAAAAAGGAGGAUGCUAAGAGUGAUAAGACAGAGUCAGAGGGUUCUGAUAAACCUAAAGACGAGAAAAAAGAUGAGGAUGAUGAUGACGUGGUACUCGUCAAGGAAGAGGAAGAUUUGAAGGUUGAGCGUCGCAAGUUCAUGUUCAAUAUCGCUGAUGGUGGCUUCACGGAAUUACAUACACUGUGGUUGAAUGAAGAAAGGGCCGCUGCGCCUGGUAGAGAGUAUGAAAUCUGGCACAGGCGGCAUGACUACUGGCUCCUCGCGGGUAUCGUGACACACGGCUACGGGCGCUGGCAGGACAUCCAGAACGACCUGCGCUUCGCGAUCAUCAACGAGCCCUUCAAGAUGGACGUUGGCAAGGGCAACUUCCUUGAGAUCAAGAACAAAUUUUUGGCGCGGCGAUUUAAGUUGCUAGAACAAGCGUUGGUGAUCGAGGAACAGCUCCGGCGGGCGGCGUACCUGAACUUAACACAGGAUCCGAACCACCCCGCGAUGUCUUUGAACGCUCGUUUCGCCGAGGUUGAAUGCCUCGCCGAGUCGCACCAGCACCUCAGCAAGGAGUCCCUGGCUGGCAAUAAGCCCGCUAACGCUGUGUUGCACAAGGUGCUGAACCAGUUGGAGGAGUUGCUAUCCGACAUGAAGUCGGACGUGUCGCGACUGCCGGCCACGCUGGCGCGUAUUCCGCCAGUGGCACAGCGCUUGCAGAUGUCGGAGCGGUCCAUUCUGUCACGUCUCGCCGCCACCGCCGGGAACCCCGUGCCUGCUGCUCAAAUGGCUACGUUCCCAGCUGGGUUCGGCGCGGGCGGUUCGCUGCCGGGCUUUUCUCCGGCCGCCGCGGCCGCUGCCAACUUCACUAACUUCCGCCCGCAGUACUCCGUGCCCGGACAACCCACCACGCCCAACUCUAACAAAUCGUAAGCACCCAUGGACAUUAUUAUAAAAUAGUGAAUGCAGUUGACAAGCACGCUGUGAUCAGUGAGCGGUUUCAGCAUCGCGCUUAGACGAAAUAUUUUAAGAUUUAAGCUUUCCAAGAUUCCUGUUCCACCUUGGGUUUGAAGUGAUAAAUAGUGAUUAGUGCAGUUAUGUUAGGUAACAUAAUAUUACGUCAUACUAGAGCAGAACUCUCACAAUAUUAUUUAUUUCAUCCUGAUCUGUAUGAAUCUUGUUUUUAAUGUCGUAAGUGAUUGUGGACUUAUGAAAUCUUUAUUUUUAAUUUACCAAAAAUGAAAAUAAAUCAUACAAUUACGUAAACAAAAA
Molecule: RNA transcript, 6385 nt
Organism: Pararge aegeria (speckled wood butterfly)
Lineage: Eukaryota; Metazoa; Arthropoda; Insecta; Lepidoptera; Nymphalidae
Gene: Mi-2
Gene name: chromodomain-helicase-DNA-binding protein Mi-2 homolog
Exons: 20
Source: RefSeq, a predicted model, not a curated record